Molecule: long non-coding RNA, 676 nt
Filed under: Anas platyrhynchos platyrhynchos (common mallard)
Lineage: Eukaryota; Metazoa; Chordata; Aves; Anseriformes; Anatidae
Description: lncRNA (ENSAPLG00000019064.1)
Source: RNAcentral
CAAAAAAAAAAACAGUUAGGAGGUGGAAAACUGGAGCUGUGCUCUGGUGACUGGUGUCUGCAACAGGCUAAUGCUCAUCGGUGCCAUCUCUAAAUCCCAGCAGGUGGAUAUGCACAAUUGCAGCACCUUCCAGUAGACAGCUGGCACCUCUGUUAAAUAUUUUGUGGCAAUACGUGAAUGCAGAGAUGACCACAGGAAUGCACUACGCAUGCUGUGCUGAGGUCUGAUUUAACUGUCUGAAGCCAAGAGAAGCUCCACAGAGACUGCUGAGGACACGCGCUGCAUAAAGCAGCUUUUGACUACUCCAUGACUCAGAGGAAAACCCAGGACACUCGUUAUAAAAUGUGAAAGUAAGAGGAAGACCUGUCUGUCUGCACACAUACCAUGCCAUAGUCCAUGUUUCAUUUGAAGUUUCAUGAGUGAGAUUAUGGACAGCCUUACAGCGACAACAUCUAGUGAUACAGUCUGUGUAAUUAUUUCACAGGGGCCAGAAACUCCUCCACCAUCCAAAAUAAGCCUCUGUCUCGUUCAGCCUGCUGGCUGAAAGGACAAGUAUCCAGCUGCUUGCACUAAGAUCACAGGAAAAUAUCUGAGGAGAUGAGAUCUGGUUGAUUUUCCUCCAGACUUCAGCAAGGUGAGUGAGACACCUGAUCUAGGCCCUCACUGUUAUUUCUCU